RNAcentral lists this long non-coding RNA (10318 nucleotides) under Jatropha curcas. RNAcentral describes it as "long non-coding RNA (JCUR_LNC002019)". The record is from RNAcentral. Lineage: Eukaryota; Viridiplantae; Streptophyta; Magnoliopsida; Malpighiales; Euphorbiaceae.
AGAUUUUGAGAUACUGGAUAAAGUGUUGAGGUGCCAAGUGCCUUUCCGUUAAGACUCCGUCGAUGAACAAUUUAAAGACCAUAGGCCUUCCAGACUCGAUGCCUCGGCGGAAGUACAAGGUGGCUUUAAUCUCCUUGGAACCAAAACGUUUCAGUUCUAUACAUUCAGGUUGAUAAGGGCGCGAUUCUUGGAUCUUUAUUCUACCGCUUGUAUUAUUUUCUAGUAUCGUUACCCUAGACAGCAGCGGCACCAUGAAGGCCAGUUCUGUUGUUUUUCGCUUUUCUUUUCGGUAAUCUAAAACACAUAAAGGAGAAUUAUUUAUAGGGCUGCGACUGGAAAUAUGUGAACAUAGAUAAAGAAAAUCUUGAUAAUUGAAGUGGGCGGCGGCUAAGAUAUCAAUACUCGCAUUGCGAUAUAUGAACAUAGAAAAUUCUGAUAACUUGAGUAAGACAUUCUAGAAUGCUUUAUUGGAUAAGAUAUCCAUAACCGGGUCGCAAUAUAUGAAAGUUUAUACGAAUAAAUCCAUCCCUUCGGUCUUAUAAAUUUUAUCUAUCAAGAAAAAUUAGUUAAAUAUGUUCUUGUUACUUAAUUUGUUCUAUAAUAAAGGUAAUUGGCUAAUAUAUAAGUGAAAGAUUCAAUGUUGAUAUUUUAAUUUUGUUUAAUUUUUAAUAGUUUGAAGCAUAUUAAAUAAAGAUAAAAUAGUAAGCUUAAAUUAUUUUAUAUAUAAAUGUGAAAAUGAGGGAGAAUAAUGAGACUUUUAAUAAUAUUUUUAUAAUUAGAAACGGUAAUUUUAAAAUUAAAAUCAGCGGUUUAAAAAUAUAAUCAUAGGUAAUUUUAAUAUCGUUGAGGAAUAAAGCAAUUAAUUUCAACGGAAAAAAGUAGUAUUAAUUAUUUCAUGUAAAUAUGAUAACUAUAGAACUUUCCUUUAAUAUAGAUAUAGAUGUAUAUAGAAAGAUAUUGAAUAUAUAUAUAAUAAACAUUAAUUUUUAAAAUUAAAAAUUAUAUCAAAAUAAUGCAAUAAUUAAAAUUUUAAAUAUUGAAAAUAAAAAAAAAAAAAAUAGUACUCUCUUUCUCAGAUAAUUAAAGUUGGAUUAAAUUUGACUAGAUCUCAUUUAUGUUGGAAGGGCUUUGCAUGAGUAGUAACUUGUUAAAUAUUAAUUCUGUUCUUGAAUUAACCUCUUAUGUGUGCUUAUUCUUGCAUCAACAGACAUCCUUUUUAUCAAAUAAAAAUAAAAUAAAUCCAAUUUCAGAAGUUUGUCUACUUUAUGGACUUUUAUAGUAAAAAAAAAAAAAAAAAUCCACUUCUUCUAAAAAUUUCCAAUUGCACCCUCUAUUAUUUUAUUUUUUCUUAAACAAUUUUCAGAUGGGCAAUAAUUAAAUAGAAUUAAGAAUUGUAGAGGUGAAUUUAAAGCUAUAGAUGAACUGAGCAACAGCUAUAGAGAAAUUGGGGAGUUAUCAAUUUUAUAUAGUAAAACUGUGAAAUAAAGAACAUUUGGGCUUUAUGGCCGUUAUGAAAUAUAUUUUUAACGUAUUGAACCCCUAGCCCAAGGCCCAAUAAAAAUUUAGGCCUAAUUUCAGAUGUCACCACCAUAGUGCAUAGUCAUUGGGAAGCAUUCCUUUCGUCCUCUCCUGAACAAGCCUCUUCCUCCACUUCAGUUGCCACAACCAUACAUGGGCAGUCUAUAACAGUUAUGUGUGGCGUAUUCUUGGACACUUAAAUAAAAGAUUUUCAGGUAUGUGUUUGGAUUUUGUUAAAAUUUCUUUUGCUUUUUAAUGCUUUUACUGUUUUCUUUAUUUGUUUUAUAUAAUUCAGAUCGAUCUGUUCUCUUUUCCCUGUGUUCUUCAAGUGAAUGCUCUUACUGGGUAUUAAUUAUAUGGUUAUAAAAUUUUUAGCGGCUUAAAUAAAAGGGAAUUUUGUUUUUUAUGUUUUGUAUCAAUUCUUUGUUUGUUCAUUGAUUUUGGGCGUAUUAUAAAUCAGAUAAUUUUUCCCAAUCUGAUGAACUCUUAAGUUAUCGCAAAUAGCUAUCUUUGUCUUGCUUUCUUGGUUGAUUUAUGAUAAAGAUAGGGGAAAUGCUCAGAAGUAGAGAAUUAAUGUUCUUAUAGUGCUGACUUGCUCUUCCCUAAGCCGUUUGGUAGGCUUCUACCCCAAAGUAAAGUGGUCUUUUUUCAAGGCUCUAAGCUCAAGACCCGUGCCUGGCUCGGGGAAUAUCUAGUUUGGUAUGUAGUUUCCCACCGUACUAAUUACUUGAGAAAUGAUUGCUACACCUUUCUUGAACAUCUCAGUCUAAUUAAACUUCAUUUAUAUGCCUAUAAAUCAUAUAUCUUCCCUUUGAAGUGAUUUGCAAAACUAAAUUAUGAGUGAAAGGACCUAUUUUAAGAUUAUUGAAAACAAAAAUGAAUAAGUGAAUUUGUUUUGAUGUAUAACUUAGUUAUUGAUGUCUUAUCUAAGCUAUCUUUUAAUUAUUAAUGUUUAUGUUGUUAGGUGUUAGAAAUUUUGGUAGAUAUUCUGCAUGAAUGGGAAGCCUUCUUUACCUUUCUUUUUUGACACAUGGAGUGGAAGAAUUUGAUAGGAAAAUAAAAAAGACAAUAUUAAUGUCUGGAAUUUUCCGGUAGCAUUAAUGAUUCUCCGGUUGGUUUCUCAAAUAUUUUAUCAUGGAGUUGCUCCUGCUUUAUAGGAAUUCUGUUUCAUUUGAAUCGAUAGUACCUACCGCUUGGAAGAAAAUGCAACUUACUUUGCCCUUUAAGUUUUUUAAAACCCGGCCAAAGCCCGUAGGCCCUGAUUUUCCUUUUACUGCUCCAUCAACAUUAAAUUUAAAACAGUUGCCAUUCGGAGGAAUCCAAGGCAAAGAUGAUUUAACAACAGAAGUUACUUUCUUGAAAGGUAACCUACUACAGGAAACCAAAAAUGGCCGACAACACCAAUCCUUAUAAUCAUAAUGGAUAGAAGGAAAUCUGGAUUCUAACAAUUCAAAACUUCAAAAUUUAAGACCAUCCAAUACAUCCUCACAGCUUUGAGAAAUAAAGAAAAAAAUUACCUGGUUGCAUCUCAACAUUAAAGACGAUGAGGCAAUGGAAAAUAUUAUUUUCCAUGCUACCCAUACACCAUUGAAACUUAUCAAACUCUCCCAUUUUCAACCUAAGUUAUUAAAAUUUAAAAAUUUUAUCAUAUGGCUUCAAUUUUAUUAUUUUUGAGGAGAAAUUCCACCUCAAUUUUGGAAGAAGUGAGAUUUCUUAGUUCUAUCAAUUUUUUUUAUGAUAAAAUUUAAACUACUUAAUCUUUUUCCAAAAAUAACGGUCAAAAUCAUAUAUUUUGUUUUCGUUUUUAAAGAAAAAUAUUAACUUCCAUUAACACAAAUCAAUAUCAAUUAGUCUUCCAUUAAAAGCACAUGACCCCCUUAAAAUCAAAGGUAGAAUAUGUAUAAGUAGCCACUGGAUAAAUGAGUAAUUGCUAACCAUUCACUGAAGAAACAAGAAAAAGUGAAAUAAGAGUUAUUCAUUGGUUUUGUAACAAGUAAUUUCCUUUAUUUCCAAAGCUAAAAUAUCUUUGGCCAUAGUUAUUAUACUUUUAUUUAUCCAUACCAUACCAUCUCAUCCCAAUCUUCUUAUUACUCUAACUUCAUCUGCAAGCAAUGGAGCUACAAGCAAUCAACAUGACAACAGUGAAGGCAAACAAGACACAGACCAUGAAACAAAUGUAAGCUUGUCUUCGAUGUACUUCAAACAUGUCCGGUUUCGUCAUCAUCUCUUCCUGCUCCUUCCGAUCUUCGAUUUGAAAUUUGUGAUGUUUAAUUAAGAACAUUUUGUAGAACAAAGUUUCUUUAUCUAGCAAGUUCAACUCGUAGUAAUAUUUCAUUCUCGACCAUUUUGUGAUGUUACUUAUAAAUGCGAGGCCAAAAAGAAUGGCAAUUAGCAACACUAAGCAAAAUGGGAUCCACCAAAAAUUACACAAGCCAUUCGAAUUUGAGGGUUGAAAUAAAGAAUGGAAAAUGAUGGCACAAAAGGAAAUGUAAGAAACGACAUACCAAAUGGCCUUUUUUUCAGUUUCCUCUAUUCUUUUCUCUUGUAUUUCUAUGGUAUAGCACAAUUCUUUAUGGUUGUUGGUCAGUUUUUCCAAUCUUAAAUUCACUUCCGGCGUCAUAGUUAAGUUUUGAGAUUGGAUUUGGAUUUCUAAUAUUGGACGAGUAAAUUUAUGUACGACGUUAGAAAUAAACAAAUAAAAUUUGAUGGCCAAAUGAAACCUACAUAUAAAAGAGAUAACGAUAAUUCCAAAAAAAAAAAAAAAAAAAAAAAAAAAAAAAAAAGAUAUAACGAGGAAGAAAAUAAAUGAUGAGGAAAAGAAGAAAUGAUAUAAAAAAGAGCAAGAGAAACAAAUGAACUAAUAACUUCUAGGGAUCCAAAGGAACCGAAACUCAUUGUGUAUAUAUAUAGUUUGGAGACCGCGUGAUAUUAAACAAACAAUAUAUUGAAAAAUUAAUUAAAAACGACUUGACAGAUGAAGGUUUUUGAAUUAAUUAGAAAUUAAUUAUUUAAUUACUGUAAGGUCAAUGUUCAAUAUUCUUGGUUUCCCAUUGAAUUUCAUUGUUUUUUCCUGCUUGAAUUAUACAUUUAGCAUUGAAAAAUAUCAUUCUUAGCUAAAAUAUAAAUUUUAACUGCUCUUCAAAAUAAUAUAUAAUCCUAACUAACGACAUUAAUAAUAUCAUACUGCAACUUUUACAUUUCAAAGUCUUCUCUGAUAUUUAAAGAAUAAUAAGAAGAAGAAAAAGAGGAAACCAUGCAUGUCACAAGAAAAGAAAUGUUUGAAACUCUACGUGAAUUCUGGAGGUGGAAAAAUGAAUCAUGUAUGAAAAAAAAAAAAAAUUGUUUAAUGCAUAAUUAGAUGAUCUAUACAUAUUGUCUAAUAUUGGAGAAAAUAAUAGGAUUUGAUGAUAUGAUAUAAGAUAUUAACACACACAUGUAUAAGCACACACACAAACAUAUAUAUAAAAUUCCAUGCAUUAGGUGUUAUAAAGCUCGUUAUUUAAUUAAAAUUAAAUUAUUAAAAUAAAAAAAAUUUAAGAAUAAAGAAAAUGAUUUUUAAAAAUCUCAAAAUUUCAAUUUUUCAUCCCAAAUUAUAAGUUUCCUACAUAAGUGAACUGUUCUAAUUGAUAUUAUACGCAAAAUUAUUAGAACUAUUUGUUACACUAUUACUACAUUUGACAUUUAUAGUAGCCUAAUGAAGUAAAUAACAAGACCCUGAAUAUCUGAGGAAAAAAAAAAAAACGAGCACUUUUUCAUAAAGUUGUGAAAUCAUAAAAUUCAGUAUAUAUAUAUAAAACUAAUUUAAUUACUUGUAUAUAUUGAAAAAAAGAAGAAAAAAAAAAUUCCAAAGUGGUUCGACUCAAAUUCUCUAUUGCAUCACAGGCCAAUUAAUUUCAGCUACUAUUGCCCACAGAUCCUUAUGCAGUUAUCACCAUUACAAAGCUUAACACAUUUAUGAUUCACUUCUGGCAAAUCGUGGCAUUUACUAUCUCUGCAAAUAAUAUGCCAGCAACCAUAAAGCGUAACAAUGGCGAAGCCAAUGAAGAGAAGCAUGCAAGCUGCGAGCAAAAUGUUCCGUAUAACUUCUUUAUAAGGGUCAAUCCAAAAGUUUUGGGUUUGCUGCACCCUUUCCCUUGAAAUUUCAAUAUCAUUGUACUCGCACCAGGUUUUGUCAUGCUGGGCUACGAUUUUCUUGUACUUAUGUGCAAUCUUGCUUAGGGCAAUAAGAUUGAGAGUUGCUGCUAAGAGAGAAAGAGUGAAAAUGAACCAACGAUCUGAGCAUUUGAGAGAAGAAUUUCCAUUGCAAAUUGUUGUUAAAAUAACACCUUGAAAUACAAAAUAAAAAUUAGCUAAUUGGAAAGCAUUCGUUUGAAGAUUCUGAAGAUGAUCUUCUUGACUCUUUAUUCUGGUUCUUACUUCCUCCUUUCUUUUCUCUGUAUUUGCCAUGGUGACAGGUAGCUCCACAUGCAGGUGUGAGUGAGAGAGAAAAGAUUCUUGAAUACAUAUAAUUUACUAUAUAUCAAGAAAAUGCUCGCUUUUAUAGGCAUGCAUGGUUAAGUUUAUCAAUUAGUUUGAUUUAUAUAUUAGUUACCAACUGUCGAACACUUGUAAGCUAUCCACAUUGUUAUAUUAUUAUUAUUCUAUUGACAACAAAGCCUUUUUUUUUUUUUUUUACAACAUUAUGUGUAGGUUUCAAAUAUUGAGAGAUGAGAUCGGAUUAUGUUUUGUAGAAGUGAGUAAUGAGAAUUUGGAAUUUGAGUUAUUUUUACCACAAAAUUAUAAAAAAUUAUCAAAAUAUGAAAAAAUGUGUCAUAUCAUGUUAAUUAGCCUAUAUAUAAAUAAUGAAUAAACAAAAUAAAAUCAUAGAUUAAUGAAAAAAAAAUAUAAUAAUACACAAAUAUACCAAAGACAUCCUUAUGAUUUUAUAAAUAAAUAAUAAUAUAUAUAUUUUUUUGAAAUUAUAUCAAGGGUAUCCUCUCAUCUUUGUCUAACAAUUUGAUAAAAGACUAAUUCAUUUCCAACGAUCUUGCGAUCAUUAAGGUGAGAUGCAGUGAGUUUCAACUAUUAGACUAAACUAUCUUGGGCAAUAAAAAUAUUUUAGUUUGAAAUUGUACAGUCUUGCUUCGUGAUAUCUAUAAAUUUAAUAAGACUUACCUACACUGAUAUAUGAGACUAUCCAUACACAAAGCCAACUGAAUAAAUAUUUUUUAAAGAAUUUUUUUUUUCAAUGAAUGGUAAAAAUUAAAUUCCUUUGAGUAAAAAAUUAUUUUUAAUUUGAUUUAGUGUAUGGUUAGGAUCACACGUAACAUGCUGCUAGCUAGAAGGUCUAUCUUCAAGUAAUUGUAGUCGCAUUUUCCAUUUCUUGCUUUGUUUACAUAUUUAAAACUAGGCUGACUGUUAUAUUGCGCGUAUUGAAACAUUCAUUCGGUUAAUUCAUUAUAUUCAAAUCAAUUAGAAAACAUUAUCAAGGAUAUAAACUUGAUAAGGUAAUUAGAAGCAUAGUCAUUAAACUCGGAUCAACCCAUAGCGAGUCAACCUGGAGAACUGGUCUUAAAAUCGGUUUGAUUUUGUUUUUGACCCAUUUAAGGUAGAUUACCGAAUUGAAUUGGUUGACGUGUGGUUAAACUGAUUGAUCUACAGAGACUCAAUUGAUCCCACCAAUGUUUUAUAUUUUUAAUUAUAUUAUAGUUAUUUUAAAUUAUAAUUAUAUAAUAAGUAUAUAUUAUUAAUAUUUUUAUAACUCACUAAUUAAACUAUUGAUCCACCGGAUAAACCAAUGACUCAUCCACCUAGUUCUUUAGCCGGGUUGGGUUUAAUAACACUUGCUAGAAGCAUUCACGCUUCAAAUUUUGCGAAAAUUGGAAUGUGACAUAUGUUCAACACCUUCUUAUAUAUAUAUAUAUAUAUAUAUAUGUUCCCUUUUUGUCUUAAAUGGCUAACAAAGGUUCAUACAGAAUAUCAAAUUGUUCAUACAUACUUUUUUUUUUUUUUCAGAGAGGACUUUGAAAAGUUCAAAGUCACAAUACUAUAUUCAUUAUGUUAGGUGAGAUUUUUAGAAUAUAAUUAAAUAUUCACAUAAUCCAAGAACAAGUUAGUUACCAUGAAAUAAUUAAUGGAAACCAAGUCUGAAAACUAAUAAAUAGACGUUUAUAUUAAAUAAUUUGCAAUUAAACCAGCAUUUUUUAACUUGACCUUCAAUUGUUUUCCAUUUUUCAGAGCUUAUAUAUACAAACCAAGCUGCUAUAAUGAGACCGGACAUUCUUCAAAUAUCAAACCUAUAAAGAGUUGAGGGAAGUGUUAAGAAUCUCAUGUUGUUAAAAUAUCGAAUCCAAAUUCAUGGGUUCUAGCCUGCUGUGAUUUUGGGUGCCUGCUGUUCAAUCCAUUGCAAGUGAAGGAAACUUUUAGUGGUGAGUUAUUCAUUCUUCAUUAUCCUCUUUGUAUCAUCUAACAAAUUGGAACAUUGUUCAAAUGAAGACUUUAUUAUUUUGAUCAUAAUACAUUCUAUUUACUACAAUGGAGUCUCACCAAAAAUUUUUAAUAAAAAAUUAGGAGCUCGCACUUACAGAUGUAAUAAAAACUCAUUCAAAAACUUUAUUGUAAUUAUUCAAGGAAUAAUUAGAACUUCUUUUUAUGUCGGAACUAUAAAUUGGUCUGACUUUGAUAUGAGCAACCGGUUCAACUCAUGUUUAAUUUAAUAAUUUAUAAAAUGUACAGUAAAUAUUUUUUUUCUCAAUUAUUAUAUCACUCUAUAUUCAGCAUUUGAUUACAUUGCAAAUAAAAAUUGUAACUAUAUUUAUUCAAAAAUUUUAUUUUUCUCAAUUAUUUAUUGAAUGAAAUUCACAAAUUUAUUUAUUUUAUUUGUCGUUUUAUUUUGUCUUUUGGCUUUUCCCACAUUUUUAUUAAACAAUAUUUUUGAAAUUGUUCAACUAAAUGUGUUGAUUUUUAUCCUUCAAAAAAAAAAAUGUAUUGAUUUUCUAUUUACUAAGUUGAAUAUGAAAGAAGAAAAUUGUAUUCAUGUUUUGUUCUGUUUUAAGAUUAAGAUGACAAUUGCAAGAUUUUUAAAUUUUAUUUAAAAAAAAGAAAUGCAAUUAUGCAAUUUUGAUAAUAAUAAGUUAUUAUCUGUGAUGUCUACUUAACGUAAAAAUUAUUAAUUUAGGAAAAUGGUUAUUUUUUAUUGCCUCUGUAUACUAUAUUGUGCUUAGGAUUAUUACUUACAACAAAAAUUGUCAAUUUAUAAAAAUAUUAUUUUCCACGUAUAAAAUAAUUUGUUAUGACACAAUAAAAAUGUAAUUCCAUUCAUCAAGUUAUAAUAUAAGGAGUACAAAAAAUCCUUGAAAACAAGGAAAAUUACGAAACAAAGAAAAAAAAAAAAAAAACAAAUGGAACCUUCAAACAACCGUUUCGACUAUCAAAACUACAGCAAACUGAGAAAACAAAAAGAGGAAGAAAUUCUUAGACCCACUUUUGAGAGACAAAGAACACCAACAACAUAAGCAGGUCCAAUUUCAAAUCCUAAUUAAACAAGCCGAAGAGCUCCGCUCUGCCUGCAGACUAGCUAAACUCAAAGUAACCAAGCAACAGCAUCUUGUGAUCUUCUAAUUGCUUCUUUGGCCAAUGAAUCAUAAGCAAAAUGAUUGCCUUCAAUUCCUUGUGUAGUCUGUUCAAUGAAAAAAACCAAGUGUCAAGAUAUGAUAUAUAAUUCUAAUUUUAAAUAUCUCAAUCAAUUAAAUUAGGAAGGAAAAAAAAAUUUCCAAGUGCAAGCAAGGUUUAUAAUUUGAAUUAGUAUAAGAUUCAAAAGGCUUUUAACAAGCCCACCAACUUGCAAGAAGCGAUCUACAACAAUUAGUCAACACUUUCCAUUAAAGGCCCAAUAAUACCCAUGUAUUUCCGCUCAUAGUCAACCACUAAUAGGAAAAAUUUAUUUAGAUCCGAUUUAUUUCUCUAUUUAUAGAUCAAACUAAUUAAGAAUUUUUACUAAAGAGGGUAUUUAUAAUCAUACAUUUAUAUAAAAAAUAAAAUAAAAUUAAAAUAUUUUAAAAAAUCCUUAAUUUCAUUUCUUCUUAACCCAAACCCUAAACACUGAAUCAUACGGCCUAAGCCCUAAACCCUGAAUAAGGUUGAAAAAUUGGUUUGAUUUUGGACAAGUAUUUUCCUUGACAAGGUAAAGACGUACCUUUUAAAACUUUUAAAAUUUCAAUGGAUGAGCUCUUCUUCCCCUGUUUGGCGACCUCUGCCCAUGAGAAAGCCCAGUCCGCUGUUAACCAACAAUAUGAAGCUUAAUUAAUUAAAAGAAAUUGCAUGGAUCCUGUAAGUAUAUAUUUGCAGGGUAGGAAAGUUUCAAUCUAUGGAUGAAAGAUGAGAAAAAAAUAUAUAUAAAGAAGAGCAAAGAAAAUGAAAACCGUAGGCGGCGGAGGUGGCAAGUAAAGGUGGUUGGGCGGAUCCCUUUCACGAUAAGCUGACCACUGUUAUUAUCAACGGAGAAGGAGAUUUUAAGAUACUGGAUAAAGUGUUGAGGUGCCAAGUGCCUUUCCGUUAAGACUCCGUCAAUGAACAAUUUAAAGACCAUUGGCCUUCCAGACUCGAUGCCUCGGCGGAAGUACAAGGGGGCUUUAAUCUCCUUGGAACCAAAAGGGCUCAGUUCUAUACAUUCAGGUUGAUAAGGGCGCGAUUCUUGGAUCUUUAUUCUACCGUUUGUAUUAUUUUCUAGUAUCGUUACCCUAGACAGCAGCGGCACCAUGAACGCCAGUUCUAUUGUUUUUCGCUUUUCUUUUCGGCAGGGAAAGGAUAACAGAGCUUAAGA